Long non-coding RNA from Neopsephotus bourkii (Bourke's parrot), 1246 nucleotides. RefSeq lists it as uncharacterized. Lineage: Eukaryota; Metazoa; Chordata; Aves; Psittaciformes; Psittacidae. The record is from RefSeq and is a predicted model, not a curated record. The transcript is spliced from 3 exons.
GAAAUCUCACCAUCCCAAUUGUAUGCUACUGUGCUUUAGGGUUUUGAAGCCCAGAUUGCCAGCCUGGUGAAGAUGUUUCUGUUGGAGGUAUAUAGGUAUAAGCUCUGCCAGUUCACAAGUGCCAUCAAAAAUACAGUCAGGACAUACCUGGCUUAUAAGUUUGAAACUGAUAAUAGCAUCAAAUUCUAAGCUGUCCUAAAAUUGACCAAAAUGAAAAUGAACCGUAUAGGAAUGGAGACGAAGCUAACCAAGAAAAUAAGAAAAAUGAAGAAGCUUUUGCAAGAAAUAUCUCUUAUUGCCUGUGUAUCAGAUGCUUCAAAAUGAGUCCUCACUGUUGUGACAUGAGCCCAAGUGGUCAGAGCAGUAACUCUUAUGCUUCUCACUUUUGUGAACACCUUGUUUGGAGCAGCAGCACUUUAUUUGCAGCUUGAGGAGCCCUAUUCUGCACUGGCAACUGCUAUUUUAGAUGCCCAGUCUGUGCAUCUUCGGCAUCUGUUGUGUUUCUGGUGUUACAACUUGAACCUUAGCUGGGGAGAUAAAAACCUCUAAAGCUGAAGCAAGGUGUAAAAAUGUCAAAAAUCAGAAGAAAGCUGGAUGUGACAAUAAAGGGGUAUCUCUUUCUGUGAAAGAUGUUUGAGCUUUAAAGUUGGGUUCUGAAAGAAGGCAGCAUUUCUACAGUGUGCAACGUAGCACUGAAGUCAAAAGAUGCUCAGAAAAAUCCAUGAAAAUGUCCAUGGUGUUGAUUGUGGCUUUAAGUGCAUUUAUUGUUGCAUGGCUGAGUGGGGCUUAAUGAAGAAUCAUUUCAAGUCACAGAAGGGAUAUAAGAAACCUGAGUGCCUCAUCAGUGAAAGUGUCCUUAUGUCACAGAGUGCCUGGAAAGUGCACAGAAACAGACAGCAGAGAAAGCCUCAUCUCUUCAGGCGCACAAUAUGUUCAUCAUCUUUUGAAACCGAGCAGGUAAGAAAGCCUUAUGUAGUUUGCCUUUAUCAGGAUGUGUUUAAAUGUCUGUACAGUGAUUUUACCAGUCCUGUGACAUCUAGACCCACUGGCUUCAGCUCCAUUGUGAGAUCCUAACAUACAUUGUGUUGGUGGUGACUUAUUGACCACUGAACCACGCUGGAGAAGCUGGUGUACACUGUAUAGAGGGUUAGCAUUCAGAAGAAGAGCUUGGACCUUCACAUAUACUGACAUCACACUGGUGAGGUGUGGUUUUUGCUGCUAUUCUUCUGAGAAACAACUUCUCCAA